RNAcentral lists this ribosomal RNA (465 nucleotides) under uncultured bacterium. Its description in RNAcentral is "partial 16S ribosomal RNA". It matches the Rfam family "Bacterial small subunit ribosomal RNA", at positions 338 to 795 of the family's 1533-position model. The record is from RNAcentral.
CCUACGGGAGGCAGCAGUAGGGAAUCUUCCACAAUGGGCGAAAGCCUGAUGGAGCAACGCCGCGUGGGUGAAGAAGGUCUUCGGAUCGUAAAACCCUGUUGUUAGAGAAGAAAGUGCGUGAGAGUAACUGUUCACGUUUCGACGGUAUCUAACCAGAAAGCCAGGGCUAACUACGUGCCAGAAGCCGCGGGAAUACGUAGGUGGCAAGCGUUAUCCGGAUUUAUUGGGCGUAAAGGGAACGCAGGCGGUCCUUUAAGUCUGAUGGUAAAGCCUUCGGCUUAACCGGGGUAGUGCAUUGGAAACUGGGAUACUUGAGUGCAGAAGAGGAGAGUGGAACUCCAAGUGUAGCGGUGAAAUGCGUAGAUAUAUGGAGGAACACCAGUGGCGAAGGCGGCUCGCUGGUCAGUAACUGACGCUGAGGUUCGAAAGCGUGGGUAGCAAACAGGAUUAGAUACCCCGGUAGUC